RNAcentral lists this ribosomal RNA (497 nucleotides) under uncultured bacterium. RNAcentral's name for it is "partial 16S ribosomal RNA". It matches the Rfam family "Bacterial small subunit ribosomal RNA", at positions 28 to 507 of the family's 1533-position model. The record is from RNAcentral.
GAUGAACGCUGGCGGCGUGCCUAAUACAUGCAAGUCGAGCGAACGGACGCGAAGCUUGCUUCUCUGAUGUUAGCGGCGGACGGGUGUGUAACACGUGGAUACCCUACCUAUAAGACUGGGAUAACUUCGGGACACCGGAGCUAAUACCGGAUAAUAUUUUGCACCGCAUGGUUCAAAAGUGAAAGACGGUGUUGCUGUCACUUAUAGCUGGAUACGCGCUGCAUUAGCUAGUUGGUACGGUAACGGCUUACCACGGCGACGAUGCGUAGCCGACCGGCGAGGGGGAUAGGCCGCACGAGAACGGGGACGCGGUCCAGACUCCUACGGGAGGCAGCAGUAGGGAACCUGCCGCAGUGGUCGAAAGCCUGACGGAGCAACGCCGCGUGAGUGAUGAAGGUCUUCGGAUCGUAAAACUCUGUUAUUAGGUAAGAACAUAUGUGUAAGUUACUGAGCACAUCGUGACGGUACCUAAUCAGAAAGCCACGGCUAACUACGUG